UACGUAGGGUGCAAGCGUUGUCCGGAAUUAUUGGGCGUAAAGAGCUCGUAGGCGGUCUGUUGCGUCGGCUGUGAAAACCCGGGGCUCAACCCCGGGCCUGCAGCCGAUACGGGCAGACUAGAGUUCGGCAGGGGAGACUGGAAUUCCUGGUGUAGCGGUGAAAUGCGCAGAUAUCAGGAGGAACACCGGUGGCGAAGGCGGGUCUCUGGGCCGAUACUGACGCUGAGGAGCGAAAGCGUGAGGAGCGAACAGG
Molecule: ribosomal RNA, 253 nt
Filed under: uncultured bacterium
Lineage: Bacteria
Description: partial 16S ribosomal RNA
Rfam family: Bacterial small subunit ribosomal RNA
Source: RNAcentral